Long non-coding RNA from Sander lucioperca (pikeperch), 1133 nucleotides. RefSeq lists it as uncharacterized. The transcript has 2 exons. The record is from RefSeq and is a predicted model, not a curated record. Lineage: Eukaryota; Metazoa; Chordata; Actinopteri; Perciformes; Percidae.
UUCCAAGUUGGAACCGGUUCUCGAUGCCCAAUCCUAAUUAUGACUGAGAUAGGGAUAGUCGUCGAUGUUUAUUUUUCUGCAAAGAUGCGCGCAUAUUAGACGGGCCAAUGAGCAGCUGCAUCUAGUUUUUGCGUGCUGUGUUCUAGUCUGCAGACUUUGUCAAACAUGUCAUGGCAGCAAAUCCUUGGAGGUUUAGACAAUUACGGAAAUCCUCGCAGGUUUUUAUUUGCAGCUUUUCUUUUUGACGCAGGUUUACAUAUGAAUGUUGCUUUUUAUUUGCGGGGAUCCAUAAAUAGCUAGAGUGAAAUACGUGAAUUGCAUUUGGCUUUCAGAUUCCAGCGGUGCAUCCCUGAGCUUCCCCCCUCAUUUCCUUCCCUUCAGUCUCCACGAAAAAAGUUACAGAGUGAUCGGAGGGAAGGGGAAGGAAAGAAGAGGCCAUUUAAAACAAAAAAAAGAGCCCUGACACCAAGAAUCAAAACACUAUACCUUUAGAGAUGAUGACAUUAGAGAAAUAACGAACUGCUGUAGUAAAAUAUGUACUGUAUAGAUUACGUUGCUGGCUUGUAAAAUGGCUUCCCUGACAACAACGCAACCGUGCUGCAGUGUUUUUCCUCCACAAACCACGACGGACCAAAACCAGAAUGUGAACACGUUCAGUGCACAAUAAGAAAACAAACGCACAACUUCACAUUUUUAUACCGAAAGGCAUGAUCUCAGACUUGUUUUUUUAAUGUUGACCCCUGCCGGUUAUCACCCUCUGUACGUGACAGCCGACAGACAGAAGGACAGUGCCAUCUGGGGGGUGGGGGAGGGGGGGGGGGUGUCUACUGUGGAAACAAAGCAAGCAGGCUGGACAGGAGAAGCACACAAGAGUUCAAUUAUUUUCGUAACAGAGAAAAAUGCUAAUUAGUUUUUUAAGAUCCAUCUGUUGGUUUUAUUUAUGUCGUGUAAAAAUAAUUGUUUUUUUGUAGCUUUCUUUUCUAGCUUUCUCGUUUGUUACUCGGAAAUAUAGGUAUUCGUUUUACUUAAAGGUACUAUGUUGGAAUGUUUUAGAAACUCCUUGUUAUUGUAAUUAAGCGAACUGCAGUCAGCAUUCAUCGGCCAACAGCUCAAACCACAAUAUCACAAUAUAU